This 330-nucleotide unclassified non-coding RNA is filed under the name soil metagenome. RNAcentral describes it as "partial contains 5.8S ribosomal RNA, internal transcribed spacer 2, and large subunit ribosomal RNA". The stretch from base 1 to 120 matches the Rfam family "5.8S ribosomal RNA", at positions 35 to 154 of the family's 154-position model. The record is from RNAcentral.
GAUGAAGAACGUAGCGAAAUGCGAUAAGUAAUGUGAAUUGCAGAAUUCAGUGAAUCAUCGAAUCUUUGAACGCACAAUGCGCCCCCUGGUAUUCCGGGGGGCAUGCCUGUUCGAGCGUCAUUUCACCACUCAAGCCUCGCUUGGUAUUGGGCAACGCGGUCCGCCGCGUGCCUCAAAUCGACCGGCUGGGUCUUCUGUCCCCUAAGCGUUGUGGAAACUAUUCGCUAAAGGGUGUUCGGGAGGCUACGCCGUAAAACAACCCCAUUUCUAAGGUUGACCUCGGAUCAGGUAGGGAUACCCGCUGAACUUAAGCAUAUCAAUAACGGAGGA